Molecule: ribosomal RNA, 430 nt
Filed under: Pseudomonadota bacterium
Lineage: Bacteria; Pseudomonadati; Pseudomonadota
Description: Proteobacteria bacterium partial 16S ribosomal RNA
Rfam family: Bacterial small subunit ribosomal RNA
Source: RNAcentral
UGGGGAAUAUUGGACAAUGGGGGGAACCCUGAUCCAGCCAUGCCGCGUGUGUGAAGAAGGCCUUAUGGUUGUAAAGCACUUUAAGCGAGGAGGAGGGUACUGGUAUUAAUACUACCAGGUACUGGACGUUACUCGCAGAAUAAGCACCGGCUAACUAUGUGCCAGCAGCCGCGGUAAUACAGAGGGUGCGAGCGUUAAUCGGAUUUACUGGGCGUAAAGCGUGCGUAGGCGGCUAAUUGAGUCGGAUGUGAAAUCCCCGAGCUUAACUUGGGAAUUGCAUUCGAUACUGGUUAGCUAGAGUGUGGGAGAGGAUGGUAGAAUUCCAGGUGUAGCGGUGAAAUGCGUAGAGAUCUGGAGGAAUACCGAUGGCGAAGGCAGCCAUCUGGCCUAACACUGACGCUGAGGUACGAAAGCAUGGGGAGCAAACAGG